Non-coding RNA from Delphinapterus leucas (beluga whale), 2006 nucleotides. Lineage: Eukaryota; Metazoa; Chordata; Mammalia; Artiodactyla; Monodontidae. The record is from RefSeq and is a predicted model, not a curated record.
AAAAUUUUUUCAUGCUAGUGUUUUAAUUUCUGAUGAUAAUAAAGAAAAGAGAUUAAAUAUUUAGUAGACCAUUUCCAGGAAAAAAAAAACAUUGACAUACUUUACAGUGGUAUCCCCUAGGAGGUUCCGUGGAUCAAGAGUAAAAUAAGUUCCUUUGCGUACCACUAAACAGCUGGCACUCUCCCACAGAGAGAAGAAUAUUUUCAACAUGGAAAAUAUAUGAUACAGCAUGUGCUUAGUAUUGGGAAAAUAUCUACUUUCAAAUACAUAUAUUAAUGUUUGUAUUUCAAUGUUUUUCCUCUAAAAAUAAUGUUACUGGUACAAUGAAAAAAAACAGGGAAAAGGAAUCACAAUAAAAAUGAAAGGGGAGGUGACACUGCGGGGCGGGCCCACAGGCUGCAGGGUGGACAGCGGAUGCAGGGACGCGGUUUGAGCUCCUCCCCCCCCAUGGCAUCGUUGCCGCCAUGACGGGCCUAGUGCUGCUCUACUCCGGGGUCUUUGUGGCCUUCAGGGCCUGCCUGCUCGUCAUGGGAAUCUGCUACACCAGUUUUGACUUGGGCUCCCGCUUUGAUGUGGCAUGGUUCCUGACGGAGACUUCCCCUGUCGUGUGGUCAAACCUGGGCAUUGGCCUAGCUAUCUCCCUGUCUGUGGUUGGGGAAGCAUGGAGCAUCUACAUCACUGGCUCUUCCAUCACUGGGGAAGGGGUGAAGGCCCCCAGGAUUAAGACCAAGAACCUGAUCAGCAUUAUCUUCUGUGAGGCUGUGGCCAUCUACGGCAUCAUCAUGGCGAUUGUCAUGAGCAACAUGGCUGAACCUUGCAGUGCUACUGACCCCAAGGCCAUUGGCCAUCAAAGCUACCAUGCAGGCUACUCCAUGUUGGUGGCUGGCCUCACAGUGGGCCUGUCUAACCUCUUCUGUGGAGUCUGUGUGGGCAUCGUGGGCAGUGGAGCCACCUUGGCUGAUGUGCAGGACCCCAGCCUCUUUGUAAAGAUUCUCAUUGUGGAGAUCUUUGGCAGUGCCAUCGGCCUCUUUGGGGUCAUCGUUGCAAUCCUUCAGACCUCCAGAGUGAAGAUGGGUGAUUAGAUGAUCUGUGUGGGUGGGCCCCCCCCCACUCUUAUUUAUUUGUGGUUUUCCCGGGACAGCUGGAGCUGUGCCCCUUAGGCUUUCAGGGGGCUUGGUGUUCAGGGCCCUCCCUGCACUCACUUCUGCUGCCUGUGGACUUGGAGGCACUGCCUGGCUGGACCCUCAGUGUGGCGAGUGGGCUGCUGAUGACUGUGUGCAGCUUUGCACCCGUGUCCCACCUCUACCUCCAACCCAUCUUCCCAGUGUUUGUGAAAUAAACAUGGUAUUGGUCUGGGUCAAAAAAAAUGAAAGGGAGAUGUGUUAUAAUUCAGAAGCUUUAAUUUUCAACAAAUCACUAGCCUAAUAUAUCUUCCUCUUGUUGGAGUUUUUAUUCUUACUGUUGCUCAUACUGCCCUCUCUCUGCUCAGUGGUUUUUGGUUCAUUUUUAAUUUUUUGCGGCCUCAUCUAUCUCUACCCAGCCAGACCUGAGAACUGAUUCCAGGGAGCCUCGAUGCUGAGUCACAGUGGAACACACGUUUGCAGUUAGCUCUUGCACACUUGCCCUUGGGCGUCAGGCCCCUGUGGCCCACCAGGCCAUAUUCCUGGGACCAGAGGUUUGCCCACACUGUGCGAUUGACAAGGAGGUUUGAAUGGUGGUUACAGUGCCUGCUGUCCUUGUGGGUCCAGCAGUCAAGAAUCCCAGGUGUCUCCCAUCCCAUGGAGCAGUAGUCAGACCUGGUCAAUGGUUCUUGUUGACUAGUGGGCUGCAGAGUCAUUUAAUGUGACUCUAAUAGUCUUUGAUAGCUUUCUUUAUAUCUGGUAUAAUAAGAUAUUCUAGGUUCCUCGUACAUUUCUUCUUUCUUUUUUUUGCAAUUGAAGUUAUUCUUUUUUUAAUUUAAUUUUUAUUUUAUAUUGGAGUAUAGUUGAUUUACAAUGUUGUGUUAG